RNAcentral lists this ribosomal RNA (440 nucleotides) under uncultured Anaerolineaceae bacterium. RNAcentral's name for it is "bacterial SSU rRNA". It matches the Rfam family "Bacterial small subunit ribosomal RNA", at positions 929 to 1382 of the family's 1533-position model. Lineage: Bacteria; Bacillati; Chloroflexota; Anaerolineae; Anaerolineales; Anaerolineaceae. The record is from RNAcentral.
GCAGCGGAGCGUGUGGUUUAAUCGAUGUUACACGAAGAACCUUACAGGGUUUGACAUGCAAGUGGUAGGAAGCCGAAAGGUGACCGACCCUUCGGGGAGCUUGCACAGGUGCUGCAUUGGCUGUCGUCAGCUCGUGUCGUGAGAUGUUCGGUUAAGUCCGCUAACGAGCGCAACCCUCGCUGUGUGUUAUAUGUGUCACACAGGACUGCUGGUAUUAAGCCGGAGGAAGGUGGGGACGACGUCAAGUCAGCAUGACCUUUAUAUCCAGGGCUACACACACGCUACAAUGGUCAGUACAAUGGGUUGCCAAGCCGCGAGGCGGAGCCAAUCCUAAAAAGCUGGCCUCAGUUCAGAUUGCAGUCUGAAACUCGACUGCAUGAAGUCGGAGUUGCUAGUAAACGCAGGUCAGCUAUACUGCGUUGAAUACGUUCCCGGGGCUU